UACGUAGGGGGCUAGCGUUGUCCGGAAUCAUUGGGCGUAAAGAGCGUGUAGGCGGUCCGGUAAGUCCGCUGUGAAAGUCGGGGGCUCAACCCUCGAAUGCCGGUGGAUACUGUCGGGCUAGAGUGCGGAAGAGGCGAGUGGAAUUCCUGGUGUAGCGGUGAAAUGCGCAGAUAUCAGGAAGAACACCAUGUCGAAGGCAGCUC
This 203-nucleotide ribosomal RNA is filed under the name uncultured bacterium. Its description in RNAcentral is "partial 16S ribosomal RNA". It matches the Rfam family "Bacterial small subunit ribosomal RNA", at positions 524 to 727 of the family's 1533-position model. The record is from RNAcentral.